CGGUGAAUACGUUCCCGGACCUUGCACACACCGCCCGUCAAGCCAUGGAAGCCGGGUGUACCUAAAGUCGGUAACCGCAAGGAGCCGCCUAGAGUAAAACUGGUAACUGGGGCU
This 114-nucleotide ribosomal RNA is filed under the name uncultured bacterium. Its description in RNAcentral is "partial 16S ribosomal RNA". It matches the Rfam family "Bacterial small subunit ribosomal RNA", at positions 1360 to 1482 of the family's 1533-position model. The record is from RNAcentral.